CUCAAAAUAAAAAGAGCCGGGUUGUGCUCAGCAGUAGAACUCCCGGGGCCAAUCCUCGGGGACACACAUGCACAUCUCAGGAAGCCCCCAAUGGAGAAAGCGUGGAAAUCAGCUUUAGGUAAGAGCGGGUGCAGAUGCAGGUAAGUUGCAGGUAGGACGCUCUAAGACAUUGAAAAAUUCUAGUCUGGGGACUUGUUUUUUUCUGGAAAGCAAGAAAUCAGGGUCAUGUUCUGAGCCAAGUGAAAGUCUUCUUGUGAAAAAUUAAGGUGCACAACCAAGUCAAGUACCAGAAUGAAUGUCACCCUGCCCACGGGCUCCACUAAAAUCCUUACCCAGAAAACCAUCCUUGGUCCAUUCUGGUACACAGGGAGUGGGUAAGGGGAGACUGAAGUGUUAUACCGUGUGUUGGGGGUGGUGCCUGGGGAUGGAGCCCAGGGGUUCCCACAUGUUAUAGGAGCACUCCACCACUAGGCUUCAACCUCAGCCCCAAAGCACGAUACUAAUUAAUACAAAGGAUGGCAGUGAUUAUUUUAACUAGGAAAUUUUUCCUGCUGUACUCGUCUAUGAUCUCAUUCAAUACUUGGUAUCUUAGAACUAUUCCUUUUGCACAGACCUUCUCUCCCCAAUCAGAGUUGUGUACGUAGACUGGUUUCACACAGUGACAUACAUCAUCUAACAGCGGCACUUCUUAGAACCUAUCCCCACUGUUCGCUGGCCCGUGAGUGUAGUAGAGUUAGCCAUCAGCGGCAAGAUGACUCAUGGACUUCUGGGGUGGAAAAGCUUUAUGCAAAGACAUGAGCAUGUUCUUAUGAAAUGUUUUCAUCAGUCAUCCCAAAGUCGCUCACUAUAUAAAUCAGAAUGGUUUUAAUUACAAGUCACAGAAAACCCCACAUUUACUUGUUUAAACAAUAAAUGACAUUUAUUGAGUCACAAAACAAAGUCCAGAAGUAGGAUAGGCUUCGAGGUUAUUUUAGUUGAGAGGCUCAGUUAGGCAAACAUGAAUGCAGUGUUUCUCUUUUCUCUUGUAAGAUGCAUAGUCUCUACCUGGCUCUUCUAGGGUGUGAACAUACCCAAGACAUUGAUGACGACCAGGGACCCAGCAUGGGUUAGUUAGCUUAGUCCUGAAUCAUAUGUCCCUCUUCUAGAUCCAGGGGUAGAGACCUAUUCUUUCAAAACAUAUAGGCUCUGUGGAAAGCUAUGGAUAGCAGCAGAUUUCAACAAUGACAUCAAAAUCCAUAUGGUUAGCCUGGAGCGGAGCAUGAUUAGAAGGAGGGGAGGAAACCUCUGUUUUCACUGCACCCUCCAUGAUGAGAACCCAAAUAUCCAAAGCCAUAUGUAGGUCACCUCCCUCUUCCAUUCCACUUCCUUCACUACAAAGUAGAUCCUUCCUCACAGCAAAUCGAUAUGCGAGAAAAAAAGGCUCUACAAUGGAGUAGCUGUUCUAGGCUAAAAGAUUUUCUUAUUUCCCACACUGUUCCUAAUGAAGAUUACAUGUCAACUGAACCAGCUUAAUCCAUUAAGUGCAUAGUUGAUUGUGUGGGCUUUCAACAUGGUUUGAAAGUACUUCAGUUUUAAUGCUCUGAAAACGUCACUUCUAGUUUAAAAGUAAGUCUGAGGAACCCUCAUAAAUGGUUGGUAGAAAUGUGAUUAUAUGAUCUUUUUGGAGGGGAAUUUGGUGAUAUCUAAUCGAGUAGUACAUUUAUUAACCUUUUGACUCAGUAUCCUGCUUCAUGGUCAUACUUUCUUUUUCUUUUUUUAAUAUUUAUUUUUUUACUUGUAGAUAGACAUAAUGCCUUUAUUUUAUUUAUUUAUUUUUAUGUGGCGCUGAGGAUCGAACCUAGUGCCUUACACGUGGUAGGCAAGCGCUCUACCACUGAGCUAAAGCCCCAGCCCUCAUGGUCAUACUUUCAACUUUGCAAAAACAUAUGAAAAAAGCAUGUUGCACCAUUGUUUAUAACUAUGAAAUAUUGGAAGUAACCUAACUGCCCAUAUGCAGAAGUGUGGCUGAAUAAAAUAGGCACAGUAGCUCAUGCCUACAAUUCUGGCUACUUAGGAGGCUGAGGCAGGAAGAGCACAAGUUUGAGGUUCACCUGGCAACUUAGUGAGAACUUGCCUUAAAAAGAAAAAUUUUAAAAAGGGCUGGGGAUAUAGUCAGAGGUAUAAUGUUCCUGGUUCAAUCCCCCAUACACACCCACCAAAAUGCUACCACCAGAAAAUGGAGCAUUAUGCAGCUAUAACAAAGGAUGGCAGAGAGUUCUAUGCACUGGGGUGAUUUCCAGAAUAUAGUGUGGGAAAAUAUCAGUGGAAGGAACAUCUAUAGCUUGUCAGCUUUUACAUAAGAAAGAAGGAAAAAAGAAUCAUUGAAAAUAUACAUGUUUGGGCAAAAAGAAACAGAAUAAAUCAGAAAUUAAUGAGACUGAUUAUCUACGAAGGAUAAAAGGAAAAGGAAAUGGAUGGAAAAGAAGGGAAUGAAAAUAAGGUGAAAGGGAUGAGGUGAGGCACACUUUUGUAAGUAUGACUUUUUAACUUUUUCUUUUUGGUACUGGGGAGUUAACCCAGGUGUGCUUUGACACUGAGCUACAUCCCUGGCUCUUUUUAUUUUUUAUUUUGAACGGUCUCAGUAAGUUGCCUAGGUUGGUGUCAAACUUAUGAUCCUCCUGCUUCAGCCUCCUAAGUCACUGAGAUCACAGGAAAAAGCACAUUUCUGUUUUUAUGGAAAUUAAAUUAUGGCUAAAUGAGGACUCCCUUCUGGAUAAUUCUCACCUCCACUUCCUGUUGUUGUUCUCCUUUUCCCUCUUUCUCCUCCACUUCAUCGUGUGUCUCAGGGCUGGUUAAUUGUGCUGUUUUGCUCCUGCAGGACCCUGCUCUUACUUGUUUCUCCCCGUUUCGCCCAUUUCUUAGCGCCCACCUUACUCGGGCCGGCUCUGGCCCUGUGUGUCCAUGGGUGUCUCAGUCCCCGUGUUCUGAACGUGUCUGUGAUUCAGGGUCCUUCUGCGUGCUGCUGGGAUCCGGGACGCUCCACUGCACUUUCCUUCUGCCCCUGGCUUUUCCUCGCGGGGCGGGGGAGGGGGUGGGGGGCACGGAGGGGGGAUGGGGUGGGGGCAGGCGGACCUCCGCGAACUGCUCCUACCUGCUCUUUCCAGGUUGCCGGCUCCUGACUCGGUUCAGCAGGAGGAGGCCAGAGGGACAGUGAGGAGCUGGAGGAGGACGCCAGCGGCCCAGGCUCUCGCACCGCACUGCCUCCCCGGCUCUCCUUCCCUGCGGACCUCCUGCACAGCGCAGCCUCCCCGGCGACCUCGGGCUGGGUCCCCUCAACCCCUGGGUGGUGCGGUGACUUUCUGCUCUUACCCGGCGUGGCACCUGCCUCCUGUUUGGUAGCGCCACGUUUCGUAAGUGGUGUGACCAACUCCCUGCACUAAACUCUCUCUGUUUUAAAAUAGCAGAUGUGCUUCUGCGUUCCUGGAGAGUCUCCGGCAGGUGCGUUCAGUGUUCUCCUUUAAGGUCUCCGUCCCUGUUUGGGUUUUAAUUCUAGCUGCUGUAGAGAGGCCCACAUAUGUAUCCUUCCCCCACAUUUUGCUCAUCGACAAUGUAUAGUUUUGCUUUUCUCCAAUGUAUAUUUUUGGCACCUUUGUCUAGUGUGAAAUAACUGUAUUUAUGUGGGGAAAACCCUGUACAUUCUUAAAAGUUACUAAAGGGCUAGGAAUGUAGCUCAGUGGUAGCGGCACCUGCCUCACAUACACAAGGCCCUGGAUUGGAUCCCCAGAGAUUGAAAAAAAAAAUGUAAAGACACAAAGAGCUUUAAUGUCAAUUAUAUUUAUUGAUAUUUACUAUACUAUAAAUUGAGAAAUCGAAAUUUUAUCUAUUUGUUCAACUCAACAUGUCAACAUAAAAAUAUUUUGUUGAAAAUAUUUUGUACAAAAUAAUGGGUUCAAUCCCCAGCACAAAAACAGACAAACAAAAUAAAUCCCACAAAGACAGACAAGCAAAAAUAUCCCCAAACCCCAUUUUCUAAAACAACCUAUUAGUGGGAAGAGUUGGGAACCAGGCAAGGUGGUGCACACCUAUAAUCCCCGAGGCUCUGAAGGCUGAGGCAGGAGGAUUGCAAGUUCAAAGCCAGCCUCUGCAAUUUAGCAAGGCCCUAAGCAACUUAGUGAGAUCCUGUCUCAAAAUGAAAAAUGAAAAAGGGCUGGGGAUGUGACUCACUGGUUAAGCUCCCUUGGGUUCAAUCCACCCCUCCCCCCCUACCAAAAAAAAAAGUUGUUUGUUUUACACUUUUUUGUAAAUCUCUUUAUUGACUUAAUUGAAUGUGUAACUGGGUUUUCAUAUCUGCUUCUGAGUUCAAUCUGUUGUGAUGACAAAACACACAAAGAAAAUAAUAUCUCGGCAUUGUUAUGAACAUAGUUUUGAUUUUGUGACCACUGAAAGGUCUUGGGACUACCCAGGGGUCUUUAAGUCAUACUUUGAAAACUGGUACUUAUUGAAAUUGCG
Molecule: long non-coding RNA, 4488 nt
Filed under: Marmota monax (woodchuck)
Lineage: Eukaryota; Metazoa; Chordata; Mammalia; Rodentia; Sciuridae
Source: RNAcentral